Molecule: ribosomal RNA, 492 nt
Filed under: uncultured bacterium
Lineage: Bacteria
Description: partial 16S ribosomal RNA
Rfam family: Bacterial small subunit ribosomal RNA
Source: RNAcentral
AGUGAACGCUGGCGGUAGGCCUAACACAUGCAAGUCGAACGGCAGCACAGUAAGAGCUUGCUCUUACGGGUGGCGAGUGGCGGACGGGUGAGGAAUACAUCGGAAUCUACUUUUUCGUGGGGGAUAACGUAGGGAAACUUACGCUAAUACUGCAUACGACCUACGGGUGAAAGCAGGGGAUCUUCGGACCUUGCGCGAUUGAAUGAGCCGAUGUCGGAUUAGCUAGUUGGCGUGGUAAAGGCCCACCAAGGCGACGAUCCGUAGCUGGUCUGAGAGGAUGAUCAGCCAAACUGGAACGGAGACACGGUCCAGAAGACUACGGGAGGCAGCAGUGGGGAAUAUUGGACAAUGGGCGAAAGCCUGAUCCAGCAAUACCGCGUGGGUGAAGAAGGCCUUCGGGUUGUAAAGCCCUUUUGUUGGGAAAGAAAAGCAGCAGGUUAAUACCCCGCUGUUCUGACGGUACCCAAAGAAUAAGCACCGGCUAACUUCGUG